UCGCUCAUUUGCUGGCACACUUCGGCCCCCACAGUGCAAACCUAGCUCUCUUUCCCCUCGACCCCCACAGCGCAGCGCAUCACCACUCCCUCCUCCCUCAUCAGCCGCCGCCAGGUCUUCUCGCUGGGGUCGAAGAGUAGGGGAUCCGGCUGGAUCCGAGGCGUGCGGGCGUGGUGGCGGUCAUCUUUGGCAGCGGCGGCGGCGGGCAUCUCCGGCAAAAAGCGAUGGCGGGGAUGCUCGAUUCGCCAUGGACCGGUCCCUGCAGGAGAGAGAAAGAAAGAGAGGAGGGAGAAAGCGAGAGGAAAGAGGAGAGGGAGGUGCGACGGCGGGCGGGAGAGGGUCUCCGGCCGGUGCGAGACAUUCACGUCUCUCGUCCUCUCCUGCUCUCGACCACCACCGUGGCCCUCCUUCUCCCCUUCAAUUCCCUGUCUCCUCUUCUCUGGAGUUACCUGAGUGGUCAACACCGAGAAAGAUGGGGAAUACAAAGCCAGCGAGGAAGACAGCUUGACUCUGCCGCCGAUACUGACCGGCCAAUUCUGUCGGGCGCCGUCAUGGGAGGAGGCGAACCAUCGAGGAGCAGCACGGGAGGAGAUAAAGAUAAGCCGCCGGACUCCCUGUUCACUUGUGGUUGCAUCUUGCCCGUGAGCUCCUUCUUCUUACAGCCAGCUUGGCCCUUUUCUUGCCAUGUUUUGGGUGAUGCAGCGUAUCAAGCAGGCGAGGGCGAGGAUCAGAUGCGGUAGCAGCUGAAGGAGUCAUGGAGAGGGGGCGAGAGUGGGCAGCGGCUGUCGGCCAAGAAGGAAGAGGCUGGGACGAGGACCGGAGGAGGAGGUUCUCAUGGUGGAGCAUAGGAGGACGGAGGCGGAGUGCUGCUGCAACAGCUGUGGGACUGGGCGAAAGGAUGAAAUUAUUGUUUACUUUAGAUUGGGGCGCUGGAGCCAAUGAAAAAAGAUCACUGCAGCUUUGAAUGUGGGCACAAGUCAAAUGAAACUAUUGGAUGGAGCAAUUCAGUGCGGUGGGGUACAGGGGCUCGUGCAGGAGUAUAUAUAACAGCAGAGUUCAUCUCUGUUUUGCUGACAAUCCACACUGAAACUGUUGAAAAGUAGAUAAUCAGCCAAUAAACAGUAAAUCAUCACAUCUAUUUGCUUUCCUGGUAUAUGGGGCCAUUAUUAUUCUGGUACUUCUAAAGAGUCAUUAUUCUUAUGGUACUUCUACAUUUGCAUAUCUUUGUGUUCAGAUGGAAGUCACCUGGCAAAGGUCUAACGUUUCAGAUUUAAUGUUAUAUACAUGCCCAAGAGUAAUACGUUAUAUAAUAUACUCUAGAUUGUAUUCUUAUUUAGUUUUUUUCAUGCUUCUUGUUUCACUGGGCUAUUGCAAAGACGACAUAUCCACUUGGAGUUGGAUAUUAUUUUGAUAACCAUAUCUAGCUAUUUUUACAAAAUAAUAUCAAUUAACUUGCAUCGAUUCAAUGCUAGAGCGGUAGUCAUGAAACAUUGCCACUGCGCCACAAGGCGAUUAAAAUCAUGGAAAUUGAUAUAAAAGUUACUUGUGAUUUCUAUAGUCAUGUAAUCACAAACCAUAAUGAUAAAAAAGCCAAAUUGUUUAUUUUAUUGGAGAACACAUCAACUAUAUGGAGAAUCAAAGGUGAAUGUAAAUGAAACGCUCCAUGUACGUUUAGGCUCCAAUAUAAGAUUAAAAUAGUGGAUAAAUCAUUGUACCAUAUUCAAUUAGAACUACAAAGAAGAAGAGAAAUGGUUGAAUAGCAAAUUCUGACCGGCCAAUUCCGUCGGGCACCGUCAUGGGAGGAGGCGAACCAUCGAGGAGCAGCAUGGGAGGAGAUGAAAAUAAGCUGUCGGACUCCCUAUUCACUUCUGGUUGCAUCUUGCCUGUGAGCUCCUUCUUCUUACAGCUAGCUUGGCCCUUUUAUUGUCAUGUUUUGGGUGUUCCUUCCUACAGCCAGCUUCGCCAUUUUCUUUGGAAGUAGUAAUUCAACUCAGAAAGCAUAAAUAAUUUGAGACUGCUUCUGUCCUCCCUACAAUUUGUUGAAGUCAUCAUUCUUUUUUCUUUUUUUCUGUAGUUUUUCCUCAUCUUUUACAGUUUAUUUGGGUUAUUUCAUUCUCUGGUACUUGGGCAUAUUGGUUGUCUCGUUGUCUCCUUUUACUAACAGUAUUUCCUAUUCAGUGUAUGGGAGAGGUUACUAGCUCACAUAUAUAGUUUAGUUAUUAAGUUUCUAAAUAAGUUCAGCCUCAGAGCUCGGAUUUUGUACGCUUCAAAAUUGGAGUGUGACUUUUGCUUGCUGAUUGAUUCAGUUAUGGUGUGGAUGCCUACUACUCAAAAUGAUUUUAUAUCGUAUCAUAAAUUUCAGGAACCGUAUCACAACAAAUCAUUGGCAUUGCAGCUUCAGGGACAUGUAUGAUGCAGCUUCAGGGAUUUUAGUGUAUACAAGCCAUCCUACUCGCUGCCCUCCUCAGCUACUCAGAUAGUUAUUCCUUCUCAUUAUCAGUGAAUAAGUUGGUUACAGAACAUGGUUGAAGAUUGUAGUACAUAGAGAUUGCCUGGCAGACUAAAAUAAUUAGGAGCUUCUGAUUGGACCCUUCAAGCAAUAGUGUUGUCAAUAUAUUAAUUAUUGGAUUAUGUUACUAUACUCUUAGAACAGCUUCCUGAUAUAUGUAUUUAUAGGAUUCUCUGAUAUUUGAUGCAAAAUAUUGAUGGUCGGGUGAAUGCAGUGGACUCAUCGAGAUUGAGGGCACCAACAGCAUAUGCCGAGGGCGUCCAUCGACAACCUGCCCAAUGUCCGGAUUCACCGAGGAGUACAGCUAGAGACACUAUUGGUUGCCUGCAGGCCUGUGAGUUGAGUUGCUGCUUCGUUGGAGAUGUUGAUGUUGUUCGAGACGCCCGCUGGAUUCACCCUUUUCAAGGUUCUGAAUUAGGGCAAGCUCGACAAGGUUGAGUGGUACAGGUAUGAUCUUCAUGGAGCUAGCCAUCAUUGGAUUUGGUAAUACAUAAUCACUUAUUCAGAGAGCCCAAGGUGAGAAGGGACGAGCAUCUAGAACACCACCACCUACUAAUCAGCGAGCUACUAUCUGUCUUUGAAUGAGUUACUUAACAAGAGAAGGCAGGAGUUUCCUACCUUUCUUCUGCAAAUCCGGAAUGCCUUUAUGGCAUGAUCAUGUGAAAAAGUACCUUGAUGCAGUAAUGGAUUUGAUUAUCACUGGUUACUCUGUUUUCACGAAUUACUAUCCAACUAGCAUGGAAGAACCAAAAGGUAGUUGAUCAGCAGGAUGGCAAGAGGAAGACAAGAACCAAAUUAAAGUUUGUUGUUGUGCAUGUCUGUAUCUAUCAAGAUUCAGUGCUAUGUAGAAAUGUCCCUGAGAUUUGUUUCACUCAACGAGACCAAACAAUCAGGAACACAAGUAGGAUAGUUGAUGCUUUUUUCAUUUUUCUUCUGAUAAAAAGGAAUCUUCAUCUGCCAAGAAUAAGGCCUACAAGCAUGUAUGCCUAAUUACCUAUAUGCUGAUUUAACGAGCUCA
This is a long non-coding RNA of Triticum aestivum (bread wheat), 3527 nucleotides long. RefSeq lists it as uncharacterized. The record is from RefSeq and is a predicted model, not a curated record. The transcript has 6 exons. Lineage: Eukaryota; Viridiplantae; Streptophyta; Magnoliopsida; Poales; Poaceae.